CAUCUGGUAGGCACUUCAGACAUAUAUUUCUGGAGUGAAAAGUAAAAAAUGGAAGAAAAAACUGUACGCAAAAACGUAAAAGAGAAUUGAAAUAGAUCGUCGGAGUCAAAAUGUACUUAGUCUAUGACUUUAUUGAAUUUUAAAUAAUUUUACUGAAAUUAAUAAAUUAAUUAUUUAUUUUUUGUGCUCUUUUGGCAAUAAUGGACGUUUGGCAAACGAUAUGCAUUCAAACGGCAACCAGAGGCAGUAUUGGCUGCUCCUCAUCCUAAAGGACGAACAGAUGCACACAACGGUGGACUUGACGGAGCUAUCUACACAGACGGAGGGUUUUUCUGAUUACGAUUUGAAGGAGCUGUGCAUGUAUGUCGGCACAUCUGCAUGCAUCGCAUGCGUCAAUUUAUGCGCAAAUUAAUGGCAAAUCCCAAUGCGAUCUCAAUUCAACUGCCAGCUCUUUUUUUACUUUUUUAUUUUGAGAUUAAAUUUCAAACUGCCACUGCAGUACACAUGUUUACAAAACACAGCUGAUUCGUGUGAAUGUGUUAGUUACGGUCCACGUACAAACGAAAUAUAUAGAAUAUACAUAAAAAAUGCUGCAGACAGGCCUUAACUUAAGUAUUCUACAUCUGGUUGUGAUGAACUUAGUCAUUCUAUACAGCUGAUGAAUGCAUCUGUAAUGUAUCCCCAAAUACUUUGUGGUUUAGCUUACCGUCUGGAAAACAUUGAGUUUUUAAAUGAAAAGUUUUGAUAUUUACGUUAUUUAUUAUUGUUCAUACGAUAUUUUGACUUUAAAAACUCAGGUAAAAAAAUAAUAUACACACAGCCUGCUUUGCGAGUACAGGGUACAACAGUCAAAUGACCCGUCCAAUGCAACAACAAGAAGAACAUAAAACCUGCCACUGCGCCUGCUACUGUCUCUCCUACUCUACUGCCAGUUCCUCUGCCAAUGCCUCUACUGAUGCGCCUGCUACUGUGACACAACAUACAAGAUUUUUUGUUGCUUCUACUGCUGCUGCUGUCUCUGUGGCAGGUCGAAGCCAAAGGUCGUGAGGGGGGUAUACAUAGAGGUUAAUGUUAGCCACACUAAAAGAAAACUAACCAAAAAGCUUAGCCGAUUGCCGAUGCCGAUUCAAUGUAAAUUUUAAAUUUGUCAAGUUAAUCAAGUCAAACUAUUUUUGCCCCAUUAAACUGGAACCUCCUGGACAACGUGCACCUUGAUUUGUUCAGCGCACACCGCGAUUCGAGGAGAUCCUCCAUGUGCAGUGUCAAUUCG
Molecule: long non-coding RNA, 1270 nt
Filed under: Drosophila guanche
Lineage: Eukaryota; Metazoa; Arthropoda; Insecta; Diptera; Drosophilidae
Source: RNAcentral